This 176-nucleotide non-coding RNA is filed under the name Spirochaeta sp. RNAcentral's name for it is "FMN sequence". It matches the Rfam family "FMN riboswitch aptamer (RFN element)". Rfam says of the family: The RFN element is a highly conserved domain that is found frequently in the 5'-untranslated regions of prokaryotic mRNAs that encode for flavin mononucleotide (FMN) biosynthesis and transport proteins. This element is a metabolite-dependent riboswitch that directly binds FMN in the absence of proteins. In Bacillus subtilis, the riboswitch most likely controls gene expression by causing premature transcription termination within the 5' untranslated region of the ribDEAHT operon and precluding access to the ribosome-binding site of ypaA mRNA. RNAcentral also lists the same sequence under 1 other name. The record is from RNAcentral. Lineage: Bacteria; Pseudomonadati; Spirochaetota; Spirochaetia; Spirochaetales; Spirochaetaceae.
UACGAUUUUCAGGGCAGGGUGCGCCUCCUUCGUUGAAGGGGCAAUUCCCGACCGGCGGUGAUAGUCCGCGACCUUGGCGCCUUCCACGGCGGAUGCACAGCAUUCGACUGGCAAGACCAAACUGAACCGGUGGAAUUCCGGUACCGACGGUAUAGUCCGGAUGGGAGAAAAUCUGU